RNAcentral lists this transfer RNA (96 nucleotides) under Phaeoacremonium minimum UCRPA7. It matches the Rfam family "tRNA". Rfam says of the family: Transfer RNA (tRNA) molecules are approximately 80 nucleotides in length. Their secondary structure includes four short double-helical elements and three loops (D, anti-codon, and T loops). Lineage: Eukaryota; Fungi; Ascomycota; Sordariomycetes; Togniniales; Togniniaceae. The record is from Rfam by way of RNAcentral.
GGUAGCAUGCCAGAGUGGUUAAUGGGUAGGACUUGAAUUAUUUUACAAUGAUAUCCUAUGGCUUCGGCCGCGUAGGUUCGAACCCUACUGCUAUCG